RNAcentral lists this ribosomal RNA (253 nucleotides) under uncultured bacterium. Its description in RNAcentral is "partial 16S ribosomal RNA". It matches the Rfam family "Bacterial small subunit ribosomal RNA", at positions 524 to 776 of the family's 1533-position model. The record is from RNAcentral.
UACGUAGGGUGCGAGCGUUGUCCGGAAUUAUUGGGCGUAAAGGGCUCGUAGGCGGUCUGUCGCGUCGGGAGUGAAAACUCAGGGCUUAACCCUGAGCCUGCUUCCGAUACGGGCAGACUAGAGGUAUGCAGGGGAGAACGGAAUUCCUGGUGUAGCGGUGAAAUGCGCAGAUAUCAGGAGGAACACCGGUGGCGAAGGCGGAUCUCUGGGCCGUAACUGACGCUGAGGAGCGAAAGCAUGGGGAGCGAACAGG